AGCCAGGUGUUCUCACGCUUGGUUAUUUCUGCUCAAUGGCACGCUAAAUAGCCGCAGUACCCUGACUGUGCAAAGGUAGCAUAAUCAUUUGGCUUAUAAUUGAAGUCUGGCAUGAAAGAAAUCAUGUGUAACAACUGUCUUCUAUAGAUCUUUAGAAUUUACUAAUUAGGUGAAAAUACCUAUAAAUUAAUAAUAGACGAGAAGACCCUAGAAAUUUUAAUAUAAAAGUAUUUUUGCUUACUAUUUUGUUGGGGCGACAGAAUAACAGUUGAACUUAUUUUAAUUAAUUUGUACUAAUUUUUGAGUAAAAUUAAAUUACUCUAGGGAUAACAGCAUAAUUUAUUAAAGUUUGUGACCUCGAUGUUGGACUAGGGUUUUUAAUAAUCAGAAGUUAUUAAAUUAGGCUCUGUUCGAGCCUCAUUCCU
RNAcentral lists this ribosomal RNA (425 nucleotides) under Xerocrassa mesostena. Its description in RNAcentral is "partial 16S ribosomal RNA". It matches the Rfam family "Archaeal large subunit ribosomal RNA", at positions 1920 to 2664 of the family's 2987-position model. The record is from RNAcentral. Lineage: Eukaryota; Metazoa; Mollusca; Gastropoda; Stylommatophora; Geomitridae.